GCCUAACCAAAAAAGCCAUCCUUUACAACAGCGCUGAGGCUACACGGCGGCAGACAAAGGAACUCAGAAAGUAGCCCCCUGAAGGAGACUAUGAUACAGUACUGGGUUUCCAGACAGGUGUGCAUUGCAGGAUCCGAGCUCAUAGAAUCAUAGAACUGUAUAGUUCGAAAGCCCCCCGAGGGUCAUCUAGUCCAACCCUCUGCAAUGCUGGAAACUCAACUGUU
Zootoca vivipara (common lizard) is the source of this 224-nucleotide non-coding RNA. The record is from RefSeq and is a predicted model, not a curated record. NCBI's taxonomy places the organism in Eukaryota, Metazoa, Chordata, Lepidosauria, Squamata, Lacertidae.